Non-coding RNA from Pelobates cultripes (western spadefoot toad), 716 nucleotides. The record is from the annotation of a GenBank genome assembly. Lineage: Eukaryota; Metazoa; Chordata; Amphibia; Anura; Pelobatidae.
CUUUAAGAAACUUAGAGAUGUACUAAAUCAGUUUUCGCAAAUUAAUUUCAUUGAAAACUUAAAAGAUGUGCAUGUAAGAGAGUAGCUGGCAAGUGAAAACGCAAUAUAGUCAGAUGCACAAACUGAUGCAUUAUGCAGUUACCGAUGGGAAAGCUAAACAUGGAGACAAUGGGUGGUUUUCCUGAGUGCAUUUUCAUGUCAGGACGACUUUACAUUUUGCUUAUUGGCCUAAUUCUGUCUGGUAGUAAGUUACACUUAUUCUAUUGAUUAUACUUUAGGGAAACUGCUGUUAAAAGCCCAUGUAAUCACUUUGGAAUGUGACCCGAGACACUGUAAGGUAGUAGUAAAUAAAUAAUGUUUGAUAUUAGUAUAUUAAUUACCAUUUUGUUUCGUAGCCCUCCAGAGUAAACUUUGAAUACACUGAGAGGUAGAAAGAAAAGAAUGAAGUUCUAUUUGAUCCUGGUAAUUUAGUGAAUCCCUAAUCAUUAGAGGAUUUGGCAGUAAUCUUAAAGCAGGUCUGUCAAUGCCAGUUAAGUGAAAGUUCUUUGUUCCCGCUAUCUCCAUUAAAUGCUAUUUCAACUUAAAUUGGGGUGAAUUAACACAAACAUUUCUGUACUAUAAAAAUUGUGAAAAUAAUCAGAUUACAAACAGGGUGGCAAUUCUCAUUUACAGAUUUACUGUUUUUACCAAAUCUGGAUUAUCCUGAUGGAUGUAUU